AGCUGGUCCGAGUGCAGUGGUGUUUACAACUGAUCCAUCACAACCAGUUACAGAUGUCUUUGUUCCUUCUCUGCUCCCACUACUUCACUUGACUAGCCUUAA
This is a Y RNA of Callithrix jacchus (white-tufted-ear marmoset), 102 nucleotides long. It matches the Rfam family "Y RNA". Rfam says of the family: Y RNAs are components of the Ro ribonucleoprotein particle (Ro RNP), in association with Ro60 and La proteins. The Y RNAs and Ro60 and La proteins are well conserved, but the function of the Ro RNP is not known. In humans the RNA component can be one of four small RNAs -- hY1, hY3, hY4 and hY5. The record is from Ensembl. NCBI's taxonomy places the organism in Eukaryota, Metazoa, Chordata, Mammalia, Primates, Cebidae.